CAAGUCCCGAGCCGGUAAGGAUUGGCCAUCCACCGGAACCGAGUGUUGCGUGGUGCGGGAGCGAUCCCGCCUGCGAAGCGUACACAGGGGGCGUGCAGGCCAUGUGAUAGAGCCCCGUAACUGAGUUCGGCGGAGCCGACGUAUUCGGAAGACCGGAAGGCAACAGUUUCGGCAUCGCAACGGCCUGAUGUCGAGACUCCGCCGGGGUCUGAGAGCA
Molecule: non-coding RNA, 217 nt
Organism: Thiocapsa marina 5811
Lineage: Bacteria; Pseudomonadati; Pseudomonadota; Gammaproteobacteria; Chromatiales; Chromatiaceae
Source: Rfam